GUGUUCGCUUUGGCAGCUCAUAGGCUAAAAUUGGAAUGAUAGAUGCAAAAGAAAGAUUGGCUUGACCUCUGCACAAGGAUGAUAAGCAAAUUCUUGAAGUGUUCAUAUUCUGU
Molecule: small nuclear RNA, 113 nt
Filed under: Sorex araneus (European shrew)
Lineage: Eukaryota; Metazoa; Chordata; Mammalia; Eulipotyphla; Soricidae
Source: RNAcentral